RNAcentral lists this long non-coding RNA (222 nucleotides) under Lathyrus oleraceus (garden pea). Its description in RNAcentral is "Pisum sativum (pea) long non-coding RNA (PSAT_LNC015773)". Lineage: Eukaryota; Viridiplantae; Streptophyta; Magnoliopsida; Fabales; Fabaceae. The record is from RNAcentral.
UUGCCUCACUCGCACUACUGUCAAAAUAACAAAAAAACAAGAACAUUUAAAAAAAUUAUUAAAAUGAAAUCCGUAACACAUUUUAAAAGAGUUCCGGUUAAAAAAAAUUAAAAAAUCAGAACACAUUUGAGAAGACUUCCGGUGAAAAUUUUGGCUAAACCAGAAGAUAACUUAAAUGAAUUCUGGUGUGUAGAUUGAAAAUUGGAAGACUUUUGCAUUGAG